RNAcentral lists this ribosomal RNA (919 nucleotides) under uncultured bacterium. Its description in RNAcentral is "bacterial SSU rRNA". It matches the Rfam family "Bacterial small subunit ribosomal RNA", at positions 33 to 926 of the family's 1533-position model. The record is from RNAcentral.
ACGCUGGCGGCGUGCCUAACACAUGCAAGUCGAGCGGCAGCGAGUUUUACACUGAAUUCUGGAAGCUUCUGGUUUAAAGAGAAGAUUUAUUCAAGAAUUUUGUGUAAAAUGUCGGCGAGCGGCGGACGGCUGAGUAACGCGUGGGAACGUACCCCAAAGUGAGGGAUAACGCAUCGAAAGGUGUGCUAAUACCGCAUAUGGUCUUCGGAUUAAAGCCUUCGGGCGCUUUGGGAACGGCCUGCGUAAGAUUAGAUAGUUGGUGGGGUAAUGGCCUACCAAGUCGACGAUCUUUAACUGGUUUGAGAGGAUGAUCAGUCAGACUGGAACUGAGACACGGUCCAGACUCCUACGGGAGGCAGCAGUGAGGAAUCUUCCACAAUGGGCGAAAGCCUGAUGGAGCAACGCCGCGUGCAGGAUGAAGGCCUUCGGGUUGUAAACUGCUUUUAUAAGUGAGGAUUAUGACAGUAACUUAUGAAUAAGGAUCGGCUAACUACGUGCCAGCAGCCGCGGUCAUACGUAGGAUCCGAGCGUUAUCCGGAGUGACUGGGCGUAAAGAGUUGCGUAGGUGGUUCGAUAAGCGAAUAGUGAAAUCUGGAGGCUCAACCAUUCAGACUAUUAUUCGAACUGUUGAACUCGAGAGCAGAAGAGGUAGCUGGAAUUUCUAGUGUAGGAGUGAAAUCCGUAGAUAUUAGAAGGAACACCGAUGGCGUAGGCAGGUUACUGGGCUGUUUCUGACACUGAGGCACGAAAGCGUGGGGAGCGAACCGGAUUAGAUACCCGGGUAGUCCACGCCGUAAACGAUGGAUACUAGCUGUUGGAGGUAUCGACCCCUUCAGUAGCGAAGCUAACGCGUUAAGUAUCCCGCCUGUGGAGUACGGCCGCAAGGCUAAAACAUAAAGGAAUUGACGGGGACCCGCAC